UAGAGUUAUGAAAACCUUGAACCGAUUGACAUUGGCCAGAAAAGGAAUAUGCAAAUGGUCAUUCUAUUGAGUCUGGAA
Molecule: small nucleolar RNA, 78 nt
Organism: Lolium rigidum
Lineage: Eukaryota; Viridiplantae; Streptophyta; Magnoliopsida; Poales; Poaceae
Source: RefSeq, a predicted model, not a curated record